CAAAGACUUUAUCUGCAUCAGAUCACACUAAGCUUUCUGUAUCAGCAACACACUAAGCUCAAUCAUGCACCUCUCUGUGUCUAACUUAUCUCAUCAUCCACAACCUCUUUGAUUCCACCCCUUCACUUCCCACCUCUUUUAUUCUACCUUAUCUCAUCAUCCACCCCUUCACCACCCACCUAUUUUAUUCUAGCUUAUCUCAUCACCCACCCCUUCACCACCUUUCACCACCCACCCCUUGACAUAUUUAUUUCAUCACCCACCCCUUUUCAUCCCCCACCCCUUGAGAUAUUUCUAUUGCACCAUCACCCUGAUGUAAUAUUUCAGAUUUCCAUUGCACCUUUUUAAUUCUCGCUUAUCUCAUCUGCAAUUUAAUAUUCACAUAUCUCCUGCAUGCCUCUCUUUUUCUAUUUUAAAAAAUAUAAGUUAAUAAAUCAUUUAAAACUUCAUUUUUUUAAAAUAUACCUGAAUUUAUACUAUCCAUAAACAAUUAUAAGUUCUAUAUAAUUUUUUAUAUGAAGAAAGGAAAGUAAUAUAGUUGUAAAAAUUAUUAAUUCUAAAUCUUAGUAACAGAAAUAUUGGUAUAUUUAUCAAUUACUUUUAUAUUAUAUUUUUUCUAUGGUAUAGAUUACUUAUUAUAUACUAAACUUUAAGUCCUUACAUUAUAUUUUAUAAAUUAAUUAGUCAAAAUAUAUAUUUCUUUCACUAAUUAUUUUAUCUACUUUUUUAUUGUAUCUUUUUCCAAUAUCACUCUUUUUAUUUUGUGUCAUUGUAUUAAACUUUAUUUAAAUAUUUGGAUCAUAAAAAAUAAUGUUAUAAAAAUUAAUUUUGUAAAUCUUGUAUAAUAAAAUUAUUGUGUAUAAUUAUCAAUUACUUUUAUAUUUCAUUUUUUUUACUAUUGCAUGGAAUACUUAUUUUAUACUAAACUUUAAAUCCUUAUAUUAUAUUUUAUAGAUUAAUUAGUAAAAAAAUGAAUUUUUUUGUCUAAUGAUUUAAUCUUUUUUUUAUUGUAUCUUUUUCUAAUCUCAUUCUUCUUAUUUUAUGUCAUUGUAUUAAACUUUAUUUAAAUUAUUUAACUAAUAAGGUGUUUUUGAUUAUAUAACUCAUAUAACUAAUAACAUAUGAAGAAUAUAUAAAUAAUUGUAUAAUCUUUUUAUUUUUAGGAUCAUGAAUCAAUUAUAAGUUGUUUAUAUUAUAUUACCAUUUUAGUAAUAUUUAAUUCAUACAUUAAAUGUAUAUUUUUAAUCUCCUUCAAAAGUCUAAUCAUUUUUAUAGGUUUUUAUGAUAAAUUUAAUAUCUUUAAUUAUGUAUUAAUAUGUUUUCUUAUUUGUAAUUUUAUAUAAAAUAUUAUAUGUUAAAAUAGAAAAAACUUUAUUUUAUAAAAUAUGUAAUAUCGUUGUUAUAUUUUCUGAUGAUAAUUACAACAUAAAAAAAUCAAUAAUAAUAAAUAAAUUUGAUACUAAUAGUUAAUUUUACUAUUUCAGACCAAAUUUUUAUAUCACAAGCACCUAACUUCUUCUAAUAAUACCAUUCUCUAUCAUAUUCUUUUUCUCUAUCAGAUUAUUUUACAUUAUUUACUGUCAUAUUAUUUCUUCUUUCAAUCCAUUUUACUCUAUCAGAUUUUUUUUCAUCAUUAGCAACACACUAAGCUCAACCAUGCACCUCUUUCUUUCACUAAUUAUUUAAUCUACUUUUUUAUUGUAUCUUUUUCCAAUCUCACUCUUUUUAUUUUGUGUCAUGGUAUUAAACUUUAUUUAAAUAUUUGGAUCAUAAAAAAUAAUGUUAUAAAAAUUAUUUUUUGUAAAUCAUGUAUAAUAAAAUUAUUGUGUAUAAUUAUCAAUUACUUUUAUAUUUCAUUAUUUUACUAUUGCAUGGAAUACUUAUUUUAUACUAAACUUUAAAUCCUUAUAUUAUAUUUUAUAGAUUAAUUAGUAAAAAAUUAUAUUUUUUUGUCUAAUGAUUUAAUCAACUUUUUUAUUGUAUCUUUUUCUAAUCUCAUUCUUCUUUUUUUAUGUCAUUGUAUUAAACUUUAUUUAAGUUAUUUAACUAAUAAGGUGUUUUUGAUUAUAUAACUCAUAUAAUUAAUAACAUAUCAAGAAUAUAUAAAUAGUUGUAUAAUAUUUUUAUUUUUAUGAUCAUGAAUCAAUUAUAAAUUGUUUAUAUUAUAUUACAAUUUUAGUACAUUUAUUCAUACAUUAAAUGUAUAUUUUUAAUCUCCUUCAAAAGUCUAAUCAUUUUUAUAGGUUUUUUAUGAUAAAUUUAAUAUCUUUAAUUAUGUAUUAAUAUGUUUCCUUAUUUGUAAUUUUAUAUAAAAUAUUAUAUGUUAAAAUAGAAAAAACUUUAUUUUAUAAAAUAUAUAAUAUCGUUGUUCUAUUUUCUGAUGAUAAUUACAACAUAAAAAAAUCAAUAAUAAUAAAUAAAUUUGAUACUAAUAGUUAAUUUUACUAUUUCAGACCAACGUUUUAUAUCACAACCGUAACUUCUUCUGAUAUUUCUUCUUUCAAUCCAUUUCACUCUAUCAGAUUUUUUUUAUUCCACCCCUUCACUUCCGAACUCUUUUAUUCUACCUUAUCUCGUCAUCCACCCCUUCACCACCCACCUAUUUUAUUCUAGCUUAUCUCAUCACCCACCCCUUCACCACCUUUCACCACCCACCCCUU
Molecule: long non-coding RNA, 2660 nt
Filed under: Lathyrus oleraceus (garden pea)
Lineage: Eukaryota; Viridiplantae; Streptophyta; Magnoliopsida; Fabales; Fabaceae
Description: Pisum sativum (pea) long non-coding RNA (PSAT_LNC040176)
Source: RNAcentral